CGGCUUUCCUAAACUAUGCAAGUCGAGCGGGGUUUUCGAGCUGAGUCUUCGGACAAGGCUUGAAGACCUAGCGGCAAACGGGUGAGUAACACGUGAGCAACCUGCCCCGCUGUCUGGGAUAACAAGCCGAAAGGCCUGCUAAUACCGGAUACGAAGCCUCACCGCAUGUUGGGGCUUGGAAAGGGGAAACCCGCGGCGGGAUGGGCUCGCGUCCCAUCAGCUAGUUGGUGAGGUAACGGCCCACCAAGGCAACGACGGGUAGCUGGUCUGAGAGGACGAUCAGCCACACUGGAACUGAGACACGGUCCAGACUCCUACCGGAGGCAGCAAUGGG
Molecule: small RNA, 334 nt
Filed under: uncultured bacterium
Lineage: Bacteria
Description: bacterial SSU rRNA
Rfam family: Bacterial small subunit ribosomal RNA
Source: RNAcentral